This 426-nucleotide ribosomal RNA is filed under the name uncultured bacterium. RNAcentral's name for it is "partial 16S ribosomal RNA". It matches the Rfam family "Bacterial small subunit ribosomal RNA", at positions 354 to 796 of the family's 1533-position model. The record is from RNAcentral.
GUGAGGAAUCUUCCACAAUGGGCGAAAGCCUGAUGGAGCGACGCCGCGUGCAGGAUGAAGGCCUUCGGGUUGUAAACUGCUUUUAUAAGUGAAGAAUAUGACGGUAACUUAUGAAUAAGCACCGGCUAACUACGUGCCAGCAGCCGCGGUCAUACGUAGGGUGCAAGCAUUAUCCGGAGUGACUGGGCGUAAAGAGUUGCGUAGGCGGCCUAUAAAGCGAAUAGUGAAACCUGAUGGCUCAACCAUCAGACUAUUGUUCGAACUCAUAGGCUCGAGAGUAGCAGAGGUAACUGGAAUUUCUUGUGUAGGAGUGAAAUCCGUAGAUAUAAGAAGGAACACCAAUGGCGUAGGCAGGUUACUAGGCUAUUUCUGACGCUAAGGCACGAAAGCGUGGGGAGCGAACCGGAUUAGAAACCCGUGUAGUCC